This 447-nucleotide long non-coding RNA is filed under the name Hordeum vulgare. RNAcentral's name for it is "long non-coding RNA (HVUL_LNC002068)". Lineage: Eukaryota; Viridiplantae; Streptophyta; Magnoliopsida; Poales; Poaceae. The record is from RNAcentral.
CGGAGGCGAGGGAGUAGAGCUCCGCGGCGGCCGGCGGGGAAGUGCGGGUGGAGCGGACCGACCCCGUGGUGGCGCAUCUCGGCCUUGUGGACCAUCCUCGGGGCCUUCUUCUUGCACUUGCCGUCGGUGACGGGCCUGCGGAUCGGAAGCUACUACGUCAGCAGUAGUGGGGCAUGAGCACGGCCCUCGCGCGCGUCCAUUUACUCCCGACGUGAGCUCCAUUCAUACAACGAUGGAGAUAAACAGUGGAAUAACCCAUUGACUGAAAGGCGACCCCAAACGAAACGAGAUCUGGAACCGCACCAAGAACGAGCAAGGGGCCUUACCCACGGUGGACGAGCUUCUCGGCGGCGCCGACACUGGUGGUUGGGGCAGCGCCGGUGCUGGUGGCUGGGGCGGCGUCUCCCCUCGCGGCGGGCAGCAUGGCGACCAUACCCUGCUCGCCAG